RNAcentral lists this ribosomal RNA (890 nucleotides) under uncultured bacterium. RNAcentral describes it as "bacterial SSU rRNA". It matches the Rfam family "Bacterial small subunit ribosomal RNA", at positions 62 to 983 of the family's 1533-position model. The record is from RNAcentral.
UCGACGAUGAAUCUUCUAGCUUGCUAGAAGUGGAUUAGUGGCGCACGGGUGAGUAAUGCAUAGGUUAUGUGCCCUUUAGUCUGGGAUAGCCACUGGAAACGGUGAUUAAUACUGGAUACUCCCUACGGGGGAAAGUUUUUCGCUAAAGGAUCAGCCUAUGUCCUAUCAGCUUGUUGGUGAGGUAAUGGCUCACCAAGGCUAUGACGGGUAUCCGGCCUGAGAGGGUGAUCGGACACACUGGAACUGAGACACGGUCCAGACUCCUACGGGAGGCAGCAGUAGGGAAUAUUGCUCAAUGGGGGAAACCCUGAAGCAGCAACGCCGCGUGGAGGAUGAAGGUUUUAGGAUUGUAAACUCCUUUUGUUAGAGAAGAUUAUGACGGUAUCUAACGAAUAAGCACCGGCUAACUCCGUGCCAGCAGCCGCGGUAAUACGGAGGGUGCAAGCGUUACUCGGAAUCACUGGGCGUAAAGAGUGCGUAGGCGGGGUAAUAAGUCAGAUGUGAAAUCCUGUAGCUUAACUACAGAACUGCAUUUGAAACUGUUACUCUGGAGUGUGGGAGAGGUAGGUGGAAUUCUUGGUGUAGGGGUAAAAUCCGUAGAGAUCAAGAGGAAUACUCAUUGCGAAGGCGACCUGCUGGAACAUUACUGACGCUGAUGCACGAAAGCGUGGGGAGCAAACAGGAUUAGAUACCCUGGUAGUCCACGCCCUAAACGAUGGAUGCUAGUUGUUGCCUUGCUUGUCAGGGCAGUAAUGCAGCUAACGCAUUAAGCAUCCCGCCUGGGGAGUACGGUCGCAAGAUUAAAACUCAAAGGAAUAGACGGGGACCCGCACAAGCGGUGGAGCAUGUGGUUUAAUUCGAAGAUACGCGAAGAACCUUACCUAGGCUUG